This 441-nucleotide ribosomal RNA is filed under the name uncultured bacterium. Its description in RNAcentral is "partial 16S ribosomal RNA". It matches the Rfam family "Bacterial small subunit ribosomal RNA", at positions 338 to 795 of the family's 1533-position model. The record is from RNAcentral.
CCUACGGGUGGCAGCAGUGGGGGAUAUUGCACAAUGGGGGGAACCCUGAUGCAGCGACGCCGCGUGGGUGAAGGAGUGCUUCGGCAUGUAAAGCCCUAUCGGCAGGGAAGAAGCAUGACGGUACCUGACUAAGAAGCACCGGCUAACUACGUACCAGCAGCCGCGGUAAUACGGAGGGGGCGAGCGUGAUCCGGAUUCACUGGGUGUAAAGGGAGCGUAGACGGCCAUGCAAGCCAGGGGUGAAAGACCGGGGCCCAACCCGAGGACUGCCCUUGGAACUGGAUGGCUGGAGUACGGGAGAGGAAGGCGGAAUUCGUGGUGUAGCGGUGAAAUGCGUAGAUAUCAGGAGGAACACCGGGGGCGAAGGCGGCCUGCUGGACGGUAACUGACGUUGAGGCUCGAAAGCGUGGGGAGCAAACAGGAUUAGAUACCCGAGUAGUC